GGUGCACCCUACUGGAUUUCUCUGUGAGGCGGGCCUCCACCUAUAUAAAUACGAGCAAUUUCUGACCACCUCCUUAAAUCAAUUUUGGGAGACAGGCAAUUCUUGGCCAUCUUCUCAAAUAAAAUGAUUGCUUCUCAUAUUAAAACUAGCAUGUCUCUUGAAAUCUUUUAAGUAGUAGUGCAAGUGAUACGACCAUACAAAAAUUUCUCUAUGAGUACAUUUAUGACCAUCAAAAAAAUAUGUUGUAGAGAAGGAAAAUGUUGUAUCCAGUAGUGGCAGCAGCCAUCUUGAACAUUUAAUAACCUCUUGCUUCAUUUGUUGCAGACUCCUCGAGGGAGAACAAAUGCAUAAUAUGAACUCAGAGACUACUUCCACUAUAUUCUCCUCCAACACUUCCUUUGCAAUGACGAUUAAACCUUUAUUUUCUGAUGUGAACCUUACGAUGGACAUACCUUGGCAUUAAUUUGGAGGAUUGAAGCUGUGUUAAAUCAAAAUCUAAUAUGUGCCUCAUUUCUUUAUUUAUUGGUAGAAGAUAUCAAAUCAUUAAGAUGUCUGGAUGUAUACACAUAUCUCUGUCAUGGAUACAUGUGUAUAUCAGCAUUAACAUGUGUCACUACAUGUAUAAACAUAUCUCUAUUAUGGAUGCAUAUAUCGACACUAAUUAAGAUGUGCCACUGCAUGUAUAUAAACAGGACUGAAUGAGGCAAUAUGCAUACUUUAACACAAGUUCAAGAAAUAUACCAAUACUGUUCUUCACUUACAUCUCAUAAUUAGCAAGACAAUGAGGACCGUUGGCACAUCUCUUUGCAUUGCUCUGGUGAUUAUGUCUUCAACACUCUCAUCCUGCUAUGAUUGUACGUUUAUAACAUCUCAUGGGCUUACAAUAAUUUUAUUCAUGCAUGGUUUUAAAAUCCAGCUGUGUUUCAUAUAUGCAUGCAGUUCCAGUCAUAGUUAUUCAUUUACCUGGAUGCACUUUUGCGCUUUGCCUCAACGAAUGCUCGAAGUUUGCCAGUAGGACUGGCCAAGUGUUACAGAGAUCCUACUGUGAGAAGAUGGGUGAUUGCUGCUGUGUGUUAGGUCACCAAUUAGCUGCUGCAGAGGAUGAUAAAGGAACUUUUGUUUGAACAGGAUUAAAAUUGAGACAGAUGAUGGAUGGGAUCCUUACAUAUGUAUCAAGGCAGGCAGUACCAUAUGCUCUUGCAUCAAACUUACAUGGCGAUGCCCUGUUUCCAUCUAACUGUAAUAAAAUAAUUGUGUGACUUUCCUAUACUAUUGUUCACCCGAUUCAUCCAUUAUUUUGGUUACAACUAAAUUAUUUCAGGCCAUACUGAGUUUUGUACUAUAACUGAACUUUUCAGGCCACCAAAUAGACGUGGUCAUUCCUCAGGUUUAGUCAAGUUAUGCAAAACCCGAGCGUGAAAUCCUUACUAUCAUGAAACCACCCAUGAAUCAAUCGGACUAUUGCACAUGAUGUUGCCUGACACCAGUGACCUUGUCGCAGUUUGCCUGAUAGAAGGGGCU
RNAcentral lists this long non-coding RNA (1521 nucleotides) under Sorghum bicolor (sorghum). RNAcentral describes it as "long non-coding RNA (SBIC_LNC009518)". The record is from RNAcentral. Lineage: Eukaryota; Viridiplantae; Streptophyta; Magnoliopsida; Poales; Poaceae.